This 346-nucleotide long non-coding RNA is filed under the name Ananas comosus (pineapple). RNAcentral describes it as "long non-coding RNA (ACOM_LNC002691)". The record is from RNAcentral. Lineage: Eukaryota; Viridiplantae; Streptophyta; Magnoliopsida; Poales; Bromeliaceae.
AAAGUGGUGAUAUAGCACUAAAAUUUUCGAUCAGAAAUAUAGAUCUUGUUGUAGAUAGUAUAAAAAAUUUUCUAUCAAAAUUUCAUCUAAUUUGAAUACUUCUACACCGUUAAACUUGAAAACGGCAGAUAUCAACCAUUAAAAAUUAUAGAUUUUGAAUCCUUUUGAUCACUAGGUAAAUGAUAUCGAAAAAUCGCAAAAAUUAUUUUCUAGAAACUUCAAAUGCGCUAGAUCAAGUCUAACGGAGCCGAUCAUCGAUUCGAAAAUUCUAUCAUCGAAAACAGCUCAGGAGCACGGAGGCCUCCGUGCUCCUGAGAGCACAGCGGCCCUGCUCUAUAUAUAUAUA